Molecule: ribosomal RNA, 408 nt
Filed under: uncultured bacterium
Lineage: Bacteria
Description: bacterial SSU rRNA
Rfam family: Bacterial small subunit ribosomal RNA
Source: RNAcentral
UGAGGAAUAUUGGUCAAUGGGUGCAAGCCUGAACCAGCCAUCCCGCGUGAAGGACGACUGCCCUAUGGGUUGUAAACUUCUUUUGUAUAGGGAUAAACCUACCCUCGUGAGGGUAGCUGAAGGUACUAUACGAAUAAGCACCGGCUAACUCCGUGCCAGCAGCCGCGGUAAUACGGAGGGUGCAAGCGUUAUCCGGAUUUAUUGGGUUUAAAGGGUCCGUAGGCGGACUUAUAAGUCAGUGGUGAAAGCCUGUCGCUUAACGAUAGAACUGCCAUUGAUACUGUAAGUCUUGAGUAUAUUUGAGGUAGCUGGAAUAAGUAGUGUAGCGGUGAAAUGCAUAGAUAUUACUUAGAACACCAAUUGCGAAGGCAGGUUACCAAGAUAUAACUGACGCUGAGGGACGAAAGC